GGUCUGGUUCAUUGGGAGCCACGUGAUUGAACUUGACAACUGUGUACAGACAGAUGAGGAGCACCGGAAUCGGGGGAAGCUGAGUGACCUAGUGGCUGAGCACCUGGACCACCUGCACUACCUCAAUGACAUCCUGAUCAUCAACUGUGAGUUCCUCAACGACGUGCUCACAGACCACCUGCUCAACAGGCUCUUCCUGCCUCUCUACGUCCACUCCCUGGAGAAUCCCGACAAGGGAGGAGAACGGCCGAAAAUCAGCCUGCCUGUGUCCCUCUAUCUUCUCUCCCAGGUCUUCCUCAUUAUACAUCAUGCCCCGCUGGUGAACUCUCUGGCUGAAGUCAUUCUGAAUGGCGAUCUGUCUGAGACAUAUACGAAGCCUGCACAGGAUGCUCCCAGAAGUUCUG
Molecule: long non-coding RNA, 404 nt
Filed under: Rattus norvegicus (Norway rat)
Lineage: Eukaryota; Metazoa; Chordata; Mammalia; Rodentia; Muridae
Description: long non-coding RNA NONRATT005184
Source: RNAcentral